Molecule: long non-coding RNA, 6000 nt
Organism: Cryptomeria japonica (Japanese cedar)
Lineage: Eukaryota; Viridiplantae; Streptophyta; Pinopsida; Cupressales; Cupressaceae
Exons: 8
Source: RefSeq, a predicted model, not a curated record
GACGGCUUUUCUUGGAGGUCACCAUCGACAGCUCCUCGUUGACGUUAGGCUACGUUAUCUGGGUCCUAUCAGGUUAAUUUUUCUUCAGAACUUCCAAGAAUGGUCCAUCUUUUUCUGAUAUUUCUUGGGGUUUGUUUGGAUCUUAUUUCAUGUCAUCUGCUUCUAACCCUUGGAGGCAUCUGUAGGUUGCAGAAUAUGGACCAUCUACAUCUACUUGUGGUGUAUCCGUAACGUCUGUAAGCAUAUGAUGGUCAAGAUUUUCUCUAUAAAAUGUUUAAUGCAUAUGGGUUUGAGAGCUUUUCUCGAUUCAGAAGAGCUUGAGUUGGAGGGUUUUUUGCCCAGAGAAUCAGAAGCAAUGGCCAUGGCUUCGCUUCAUAUAGCUAUACUUUCAUACAACCAUGUACAAUCUUGUUGGUGUUGGGCAGAUCUGUCUUUUAUGUGUAAAACCUGUACUAGAAUUGUUCCCAAUUUCUAUCAUGUUAUGGCUGAAGAUGUCCUAUAUGCAAAAAGAGUCUAUGCUGCUGGAUUUUUUCAGAAUGAAAAGAGGGAUAAAUACACCCUAGAAAAACUUCAGGAGUGGAAGAGGAUGUUCUACGGCUUUUCACAUAAAAUGGGUGAUUCCGUUAACAGCAAUGAAGAUGAGGACAGGUUGCAGCUGAAGAAUAUUGUUUCUUUUGUAUUGAAAGUAAUUAGAAUGGUAGCAUUCGCGGUCGCAGAGUGUGAUGUAGGUUUAAAUAAAGCUGUAAGAGACUUCGACAUUGGCUACACUACAGUAUUUGAAAAGCUUAUCAGAUGGCAAAUUUUAGAAAUAUGGGUAUGGGCGGUUCAGGCAAAAUUAAAGUUAUUCUAGCAGUUGCUCUCUGCAUGAAGAGCAGCGAUUAAUGACAAGGGAUUUGGGAAGGGACAUUGCAAAUCAACAAUCACCUUACUGUUCUUUAUUGUCACGGCGAGGGAUUGCCAUGUAUAAUGGAUCACAGGUCAAUAGUCCCGUAAAAGUUAUUCUAUGAUGUAUUUAUUAAUCAUCAUGGUCGAGAUGUUAAACACACAGUGGCCAAUGGCAUGAGACUAAAGUUUUUCUGGGAUUCAAAAGAGGUUGAAUUGGGAGAUUCCUUGCUUAGAGAACUAGAAGAAACAAUGAUUAGUGCUUCGUUUCAUAUAUAGCUAUAUUUAGAGACAACUAUGCUAGUAUGCACUAUUCUUGUGGUGUUUGGUAGAGCUGUCAUUUAUAAUUAAAAGAGGUACUAGAACAGUUUCCAAUUUCUUUCAUAUUAAGCUUGAAGAUGUUUGAAAUGUAUGUUGAUGCAUUUUAUUAGAAUUAAACGAAGGGUAGAUACACUUCAGAAAAGCUUAAGGAAUGGAACAAGGUGCUUUAGGAUGUUUGUUCACACUUUAAUUCGACAAAAGUCAUCUUCAGAAAUGGAAGGAGGCAAUCUAGGAUGUUCUACCACAGUUCAAUCUGAAAAAAGUCAUCCUCUAGGGUGGAAGAAGGCACCCUGAGAUAUUUAUUUCACAAGAUUCAAUGGUAUGGGUGGUUCUAGCAAAAUUAAUUUUUCUCAAAAGUCUAGUGUCAUAUUAGAUGUUAGUAAUGUUUCCCAAAAAAGCUUGAUGCACAAUAAGUAGAAAAUUAUCUCAAAUGACCUUGGUUUCAGUAGUGUCAAUUCACAAUAUAGAAGAGGGGAAGGCGAUUCUUGCAGGCUGCUUGAGAUCUGAUCGAAAUGUUCAUCAUCUGGAUGAUGUUGAUCAUGUGAACCACCUGAAUGCUCUAUUGACUGUCAAUGGUGGCUUGGGAUCCAUUGAUUUGAUUGUAUCAGGAACUUUGAUUGUUGUCACUACUAGUUGAUUUGAAGUCCCUAGAUUUUGGGGUAUCUCUUCCAUGUGUAAAAUGAAAGCAUCGAGUGUAUUUCAUGACAAGCAAUUUUGGCUGACAUGCUUCUGACAAUUGUCUCCAAUGGAUGGAUUUGAGAAGCUUGUGGAAAAUAUCUGAAAAGCAAGUAGUGGCUAACACACGCUGUCAAAGUCCUUGGUAGGCAGCAUUAUGGAAAGUUAAGCGAAGAUCACUGGUAAACUCAAAUAUGUAAUAUCUCUAGGCUACUGCAUGAUGAUUUCAAGCAGAGGAUUUUGAAGUGAUGAUGCCCUAGAUGAUGAUAGCGUUUUUGGAUACCGUGUAUUUCUUCAUUCCUUCAUUGGAGAAUAAGGCAAGGGAUCUGGUAAGGGAAAUUGCAAAAUCAACAGUCACCUUACCGACUUUGGGCUCCAGCAAACUAUUAAAGUCUAUAAUGAAGAACAGAAAGGAACACUUCGAGGAACAAAGCCACCUCAAUUUGAGUGAAGUGGGAUUUUUGGCUACGAUACUGGCGAAACAGAUGGAUCAAAUAGUGAUGAUAAGGGGUUAGGUGAUUGCUUGUGCGGAAUUCAUGGUUAACACAAACAAAGUCUCAACAGAUCUGGUCUGGCUUCGGUGGUUUGAUUUUGGGCAGAGAAAUCUUCAGCCAGUAAUUCCAUUGAAAAGUUUGAGGGUUUUACAACUAUAUGGGCUGGGGGUUCGGGAACUCAUCACUUAUGAGAGCUUUUGGUGACUGAGUGUGAUGCACCGUUGCAGUUAAGAGAGUUGGUAAUUUCAGAGUGCCAAGAAUCCCAAGGGUUUCCUAAGUCAGUACAAUAUCUCAAGCAUUUGAAUUCAAGAUAGUCCUGUGUUGGGGAUCAAGAACAAGAUGAAGCGUCUUCCAGAAGAAUUUUGCCUUUUCCAAUUGGUGGAGCACAUGGAUUAAUCGGGUGUGUUGAGCUGUCGUUGGUUCAUCACUGCCUAACAGUAUGGGCAAUUUGAGACAUCUGUGGCAUGCAGAUUUGAGGAGGUGCUGGAAAUUGUGGGUGUUGCCAGACUCUUUAAGGAGUUGAUGCUUCUGCAACGUCUGGACUUAGGGGAAUGUUCUAAUUUCCCUUUGAAAUUAGACCUCCUGGAAAACAUGACAAAGUUGGGUAUCUGUACUUCUCAAAAAGCAAGCAAUUGGAAGAGUUGCUCCAUCACAUCAUAAAUCAGGUGUCAGGUACCAACGAAGAUCUGUCAACUGAGCAAGCUGUGAAAAUUGGAUAUUAGGAGUGAUUGUUAAGAAGCUUGCUGCCCUCUCUUGGAGAUUUGUCUUCCUUUAUUAAUCUUUGUGUUGAUCGGUGUCCUGAGCUGGAAUGUUUACCAGAGUGGGUGGGGCAUCCUAUUCUGUUAUUCAGUAUAACAGAAUCAGGAGCAAAAUCUUCACCAGAACCAGUUUGAAACUCUGAAGAUAAUGAAUUGUUCAAUCAGUGAACUGUAUAUUGGGUCAGGGUUGUUUAGUUCUUCCUUUUGCAACCUCAAGAGGAUAGAUCUAGAAGGAACUAAAUUUUCCUGUAUUUCCAUCUCAGAAGACUGUUGUCCUAGCUUUGAAACUCACACUUGAGUAUAAUCACCAUUGACACAUAGAAGUCAUAUCAAGUACAGUUAGAGACAGCAGGGGUUUUGUUGGUAUUGUAAACCAUCAAAACUGGGGACAACUGAUUGCCGUAAGUGGAUCCAUUUCCCAUUUUUGUACAAUUUGCUUCUCCAAGGAUUUGAACUUAAAGGUUGCUGCCAAAUUAAGAAAAUACAAGGUACACAAAUUUGUAGAGAACUGGAGGUGAUGAAAGUAUAUAUAGGGUGGCCUGUAUAGAAAUUUUUGAGUGCAUGGAAAGAUUGAGGAGAAGAGCAGAGGCUUAUAGGGGCUUAUGACAAAUUUAAUCUGCCACAUUUAGGUCGAUAGGCCUAAAUUAUCCUUAAUGUAGAAAAAGAUGAAUUCAGUAAAAUAAUAAAUAUUUUCUAUAUUGCAGCGACCAUUGCAACCUAAGAUUUUGCCGUACAUCUUCUAGAAAGUUAAAUUUAUGUCAUUGGAAUGAAUUUUCUAUUUUCUUUAAUAAAAUAUUUUUUUCUUCGAAGUAGAUUUCUUUUGGUAAAUUAAAGAUAUGGAUUUUUUUCAAUACUCCCUUUUAGAGUUGGUCUAGUGGUGGAGAACUUGUGCUCUUGAAAAAGAGGUCACAAGUUCAAAUCUAAAGGGAUAAGGUAUCCUCCUGCAAAGAAUAGAAGUAAUCCCAUAUUGCUUAAACCAAUCUAUGGCCCAUAUACAGAUUUGAACUAUAUUUAAAGAUCUUUUCCUUUCCUAAGUUCUUGCCUGCCAAGUAAACUGUGCUAUAGCAUCUGUAGAUGUAUAACUGUUGAAUUAUCAAUUGGUUGUUUGACCAAUUAAAACCGACUAUUUUUAUCAGUUCUUGCCUCCCACAAUGUUGAAAGAGACAACCAUGCCGAGAACUGUGCAUUUUUUGACAAAGAAUGUUAAAACAAUCACUUUUACUUUGUAAUUGGCUCAGCGAUUUGAAGUCUUAUUCCUGCCUUUAUGUUGUUAGAAAUAUACUCGGACCUCAGCAUCAUCUUUUCUCCUCAUCCAGAACAGUCGUCAGUUAACUGUAAGGUAUCAACUAAAUAUUUCAGUGCUACUGCUCAGCUACCUAAAAAAUAUCACCUGAAAUUGUUACCAGCUGCAUGGGAAGGCCUACCUCAGCUGUAGGAAGACAUAGUAAUGCAGGUAGAUGCUCCAUCAGCUGCUGACCUCCCUGAUGCUUCCUACCACAACUUCGGAUCGGUUAUAUAUGAAUAAAUUUGUACCCCUUCUCUGUCAAAUUUUAUUGCUCACCACAAAGUGUAGCCUUAUUUACUAAAGUGUAGAAUUCUAAGAAAAAUUCUCUUGACUUUGAGGUACGCUCUGUGGGAGGUGAAAAGCCACCUCAUCUGCCCUAGAGCCUGUACCUCCUCUUGCUGGCGUAUGCGUGAUCCUACUGGUGUCCUUGGUUGAUUGCGUGUCUUUUUCCCUGUGUUUCUUUGCCUUUAGUCUUUUCGUGGGCUUGCUUGUGUUUGUGGGUCUCUGGUCCUCGACCUGGGCUCCCAUAUGUGUUCCAUUUUUUCGAUUGCAUUUUGUCUCUGGGGUUCGACCACUUGAUCCCUAGUCCUGUAUUUAUUCCACUUGUGUUUUAUGGAAGCAUUAAAUAAUGUACUCCCAGGCCUUAAUGAUAUUGGGGGCGAUGAAAGUGUGAAGGAUGUUAGUGUUUCAGAGAAGGAUAUUCAAAAACCCUCGUUCAAAACUGUUGUUUCAGAGAAUCUUGUCACUGUGUGUCCGCCAUCUGCAGCAUUCAAUGACACCAUCUUGGAGCAGCCCGCAAUGGUGCCAGGAAGACCAUUCGGGAAGCGUCGUCGAAAUUGGAGAUCCCGGAGGGGGAGGAAGUUGUAAGUCCUCUAUUCUUGGCCCGAAAACUCUUUCACUUUCUCCCAAUGAGGAUAUGAUUAAGGCCAUCAGAACUGAACAAUCUCGUUUGAGGAAUGUGGCAAUAUUCUUUGUUUGUAUGGAUGGAUAGAGUCCUAAAAAAGGGAUUUUGGAACGUAGGACAAUCCCUCCUACGAGCUUUUCCUUGGUUGCCGAAGGGUGAUCUUGAACAAGUUGUUGCUCGUUCCUCACCGAAUUGGGUGGAAUUAAAAAGGGCUUCAACCUGAAUUCUGGCCUUUUAUCUCUCAAAUUUUAAAACCCUUAGGGUCGGUCCUUCAAGUUGAAGACUCAAGGGUCACUCUCCCUCAUUUGCAUGGUAGAAUUUUGAUUGCUUUGUCCCCUGAAAUUUCCAUUCCUGAAAAGAUUUCAUUAAAAAUGGAGGAAGAUGUAUAUACUUGGGAACUCUCAUUGCUUGGUAAUCUUAGUGCUUGUUUUCAUUGUAAAUUAAAUGGACGUACUAGAAGAGAUUGCCUGUCUCUUAAAAAUGUAUAGAAGGGCAAUUUUAAUGUCGCUUCUAACCCUAAUUCUGGGGCAAACCCUUCUGUGAAUAAUGACAAAAACUCUGAAAAGAAUGGUGGGUCGAAUUGUAAUAAUGUUGAUAAGGAUGUAAAUGUGGAUAAUGUAAAUAGUGCUAAGAAUUUUGAAAGGGAUUACUCUGAUAUCAAUAAUGGUGGUUCCAAAUUUA